Molecule: ribosomal RNA, 440 nt
Filed under: uncultured bacterium
Lineage: Bacteria
Description: partial 16S ribosomal RNA
Rfam family: Bacterial small subunit ribosomal RNA
Source: RNAcentral
CCUACGGGUGGCAGCAGUGGGGAAUAUUGCACAAUGGGGGAAACCCUGAUGCAGCGACGCCGCGUGAAGGAAGAAGUAUUUCGGUAUGUAAACUUCUAUCAGCAGGGAAGAAAAUGACGGUACCUGACUAAGAAGCCCCGGCUAACUACGUGCCAGCAGCCGCGGUAAUACGUAGGGGGCAAGCUUUAUCCGGAUUUACUGGGUGUAAAGGGAGCGUAGGCGGUUUAGCAAGUCAGAAGUGAAAGCCCGGGGGUCAACCCCGGGACUGCUUUUGAAACUGUUGAACUAGAGUGCAGGAGAGGUAAGUGGAAUUCCUAGUGUAGCGGUGAAAUGCGUAGAUAUUAGGAGGAACACCAGUGGCGAAGGCGGCUUACUGGACUGUAAAUGACGCUGAGGCUCGAAAGCGUGGGGAGCAAACAGGAUUAGAUACCCCAGUAGUC